Long non-coding RNA from Sinocyclocheilus anshuiensis, 476 nucleotides. RefSeq lists it as uncharacterized. The record is from RefSeq and is a predicted model, not a curated record. The transcript has 3 exons. Lineage: Eukaryota; Metazoa; Chordata; Actinopteri; Cypriniformes; Cyprinidae.
UCCAAACAUUUGAGAACUAUUUGUUUUGCGUGGCGAUUAGCGUUUGCUGGUAGCGAGCGCGGGAAGCGAUAACCGUUGAGAGGGAACGGCUGACUCAGGGUGAGUGUGAACGCGGACUGCUGCUGUUGUUUACUGAGGCCUGUGUGUUUGAGCAGGUGGUGAGGAUUAGCGGUGCUGUCAACACUGAACGCUGGAUGAAGCUCUGCUCACCCUUUCCUCAGUCUGCUCACUAGAGCUCAUCAUUUUAGCAUUUCACUCUCACACACAUAUCUGAAGAGUGGCAGCCCUGUCUCCUGUUGUGAAGCAGAUGUUGCCCUCUGUUUUUACCCACCUCUGCACCCUUUAUCCCAUGCCAAGUCCUAAGAAGCAAUGGUGCCAUGCUAAGUGAGGGACACAAUGGAUAUGUAAAAAUAGCAGAAUACAGACUGCAAGCUCACAUUAAGAUCUGCCUCCACAUGGGAGAAUUGAACCAUCCC